RNAcentral lists this ribosomal RNA (273 nucleotides) under uncultured bacterium. RNAcentral's name for it is "partial 16S ribosomal RNA". It matches the Rfam family "Bacterial small subunit ribosomal RNA", at positions 524 to 796 of the family's 1533-position model. The record is from RNAcentral.
GACAGAGGGUGCAAACGUUGUUCGGAAUUACUGGGCGUAAAGCGCGUGUAGGCGGUCGGGCAAGUCGGAUGUGAAAGCCCCGGGCUCAACCCGGGAAGUGCAUUCGAUACUGCUUGGCUAGAGUACUGGAGAGGAUGGUGGAACUCUCGGUGUAGAGGUGAAAUUCGUAGAUAUCGAGAAGAACACCGGCGGCGAAGGCGGCCAUCUGGACAGAUACUGACGCUGAGACGCGAAAGCGUGGGGAGCAAACAGGAUUAGAAACCCCGGUAGUCC